This 1028-nucleotide ribosomal RNA is filed under the name Listeria monocytogenes. RNAcentral's name for it is "bacterial LSU rRNA". It matches the Rfam family "Bacterial large subunit ribosomal RNA", at positions 997 to 2022 of the family's 2925-position model. The record is from RNAcentral. Lineage: Bacteria; Bacillati; Bacillota; Bacilli; Caryophanales; Listeriaceae.
GAUAAGAUCCGUAGUCGAAAGGGAAACAGCCCAGACCACCAGUUAAGGGCCCCAAAUAUAUGUUAAGUGGAAAAGGAUGUGGGGUUGCUUAGACAACCAGGAUGUUGGCUUAGAAGCAGCCACCAUUGAAAGAGUGCGUAAUAGCUCACUGGUCGAGUGACUCCGCGCCGAAAAUGUACCGGGGCUAAACAUAUUACCGAAACUGUGGAGGAACCUCUUCGGAGGUUCGUGGUAGGAGAGCGUUCUAAGGUCGGUGAAGGCAGACCGGACUGACUGGGGGAGCGCUUAGUAGUGAGAAUGCCGGUAUGGGUAGCGCAAGAAGGGUGAGAAUCCCUUCCACCGCGUAUCUAAGGUUUCCUGAGGAAGGCUCGUCCGCUCAGGGUUAGUCGGGACCUAAGCCGAGGCCGAUAGGCGUAGGCGAUGGACAACAGGUAGAGAUUCCUGUACCAGUGCUAAUUGUUUAACCGAUGGGGUGACACAGAAGGAUAGGGAAUCGCACGAAUGGAAAUGUGCGUCCAAGCAGUGAGUGUGAGAAGUAGGCAAAUCCGCUUCUUGCGAAGCAUGAGCUGUGAUGGGGAAGGAAAUUAAGUACAGAAGUUCCUGAUUUCACGCUGUCAAGAAAAGCCUCUAGGAAGAGUAGUACUGCCCGUACCGCAAACCGACACAGGUAGAUGAGGAGAGAAUCCUAAGGUGAGCGAGAGAACUCUCGUUAAGGAACUCGGCAAAAUGACCCCGUAACUUCGGGAGAAGGGGUGCUCUAUUAGGGUGCAAGCCCGAAAGAGCCGCAGUGAAUAGGCCCAGGCGACUGUUUAGCAAAAACACAGGUCUCUGCAAAACCGUAAGGUGACGUAUAGGGGCUGACGCCUGCCCGGUGCUGGAAGGUUAAGAGGAGUGCUUAGCUUCGGCGAAGGUACGAAUUGAAGCCCCAGUAAACGGCGGCCGUAACUAUAACGGUCCUAAGGUAGCGAAAUUCCUUGUCGGGUAAGUUCCGACCCGCACGAAAGGCGCAACGAUCUGGGCACUGUCUC